This 995-nucleotide ribosomal RNA is filed under the name Cellulomonas cellasea. Its description in RNAcentral is "bacterial SSU rRNA". It matches the Rfam family "Bacterial small subunit ribosomal RNA", at positions 78 to 1087 of the family's 1533-position model. The record is from RNAcentral. Lineage: Bacteria; Bacillati; Actinomycetota; Actinomycetes; Micrococcales; Cellulomonadaceae.
GCUUGCUCUGUCUGAUCAGUGGCGAACGGGUGAGUAACACGUGAGUAACCUGCCCCCGACUCUGGAAUAACCGUGGGAAACGACGGCUAAUACCGGAUAUGAGACGCACGGGCAUCUGUGUGUCUGGAAAGAUUUAUCGGUCAGGGAUGGACUCGCGGCCUAUCAGCUUGUUGGUGGGGUAAUGGCCUACCAAGGCGACGACGGGUAGCCGGCCUGAGAGGGCGACCGGCCACACUGGGACUGAGAUACGGCCCAGACUCCUACGGGAGGCAGCAGUGGGGAAUAUUGCACAAUGGGCGCAAGCCUGAUGCAGCGACGCCGCGUGAGGGAUGAAGGCCUUCGGGUUGUAAACCUCUUUCAGCAGGGAAGAAGCGAAAGUGACGGUACCUGCAGAAGAAGCGCCGGCUAACUACGUGCCAGCAGCCGCGGUAAUACGUAGGGCGCAAGCGUUGUCCGGAAUUAUUGGGCGUAAAGAGCUCGUAGGCGGUUUGUCGCGUCUGCUGUGAAAACCUGAGGCUCAACCUCGGGCUUGCAGUGGGUACGGGCAGACUAGAGUGCGGUAGGGGUGACUGGAAUUCCUGGUGUAGCGGUGGAAUGCGCAGAUAUCAGGAGGAACACCGAUGGCGAAGGCAGGUCACUGGGCCGCAACUGACGCUGAGGAGCGAAAGCAUGGGGAGCGAACAGGAUUAGAUACCCUGGUAGUCCAUGCCGUAAACGUUGGGCACUAGGUGUGGGGCUCAUUCCACGAGUUCCGUGCCGCAGCAAACGCAUUAAGUGCCCCGCCUGGGGAGUACGGCCGCAAGGCUAAAACUCAAAGAAAUUGACGGGGGCCCGCACAAGCGGCGGAGCAUGCGGAUUAAUUCGAUGCAACGCGAAGAACCUUACCAAGGCUUGACAUACACCGGAAAAGUGCAGAGAUGUGCUCCCCGCAAGGUCGGUGUACAGGUGGGGCAUGGUUGUCGUCAGCUCCUGUCGUGAGAUGUUGGGUUAAGUCC